UAUGGCCACAUCAUGUUGAAAUACCAGUACCCAUAUGAUCACCAAAGUUAAUCAACAUUGAUCCUGGUUAGUACCUAGAUUGGUGACCGCUUGGGAAUACCAGGUGCUGUCA
This is a non-coding RNA of Acanthosepion pharaonis, 112 nucleotides long. NCBI's taxonomy places the organism in Eukaryota, Metazoa, Mollusca, Cephalopoda, Sepiida, Sepiidae. The record is from the annotation of a GenBank genome assembly.